Molecule: long non-coding RNA, 517 nt
Organism: Homo sapiens (human)
Lineage: Eukaryota; Metazoa; Chordata; Mammalia; Primates; Hominidae
Gene: CBR3-AS1
Product: CBR3 antisense RNA 1
Source: Ensembl
AGAUUCUUGGCAACUGGACUGAAGAAAUUAUUUUGGGAAAACCCCAAAGUGAGAAAAACAAGUGCUGAGUAAUUUUCUUGGGUGUGCGCCCAUCAUGCACUGCAAAAUGCGAAUGUUUGCUUUUUCCUAAGAUGCAGUGACUUACUUAGACACAGUAACUGCUUCUCUGGACAUAGGUUGCCUUGCUUGCUUAAAAGGAACUCAAGAGAGGGAACUAGAUGCCCUGUGAGCGCACUUAGCAGGAAAACUAGACAAUCCACCAGCCCAGGAGGGGACAAGCAGGCUUAUUCCUCCUCCUCGUCAUCUCUGGCUCCAGCCCCACCCUGGCCCUUGCUGGCAUUCUUCCUCUUCACGUGGCUGGGGUUGGCCACCCCAAUAGGGAAGCAGAGGGAGAAGUCAAUGUGCUUCUGGGAAUCCAGGCGGACAGUGAAGAACAGGAUAUUUACCACCUGCUCACGGACACGGAUAUGACACUGUUGAAUCAGCACAUGAGCGUGGCGGAUGGACUUAGCCAAGC